RNAcentral lists this ribosomal RNA (433 nucleotides) under uncultured bacterium. RNAcentral's name for it is "partial 16S ribosomal RNA". It matches the Rfam family "Bacterial small subunit ribosomal RNA", at positions 29 to 507 of the family's 1533-position model. The record is from RNAcentral.
AACGAACGCUGGCGGCAUGCCUAACACAUGCAAGUCGAACGAGACCUUCGGGUCUAGUGGCGCACGGGUGCGUAACGCGUGGGAACCUGCCCUUAGGUUCGGAAUAACUCCCCGAAAGGGGUGCUAAUACCGGAUAAUGUCUUCGGACCAAAGAUUUAUCGCCUUUGGAUGGGCCCGCGUUGGAUUAGCUUGUUGGUAGGGUAAAAGCCUACCAAGGCGACGAUCCAUAGCUGGUCUGAGAGGAUGAUCAGCCACACUGGGACUGAGACACGGCCCAGACUCCUACGGGAGGCAGCAGUGGGGAAUAUUGGACAAUGGGCGAAAGCCUGAUCCAGCAAUGCCGCGUGAGUGAUGAAGGCCUUAGGGUUGUAAAGCUCUUUUACCCGGGAUGAUAAUGACAGUACCGGGAGAAUAAGCACCGGCUAACUCCGUG